GACGAACGCUGGCGGCGUGCUUAACACAUGCAAGUCGAGCGGAAAGGCCCUUCGGGGUACUCGAGCGGCGAACGGGUGGGUAACACGUGAGUAACCUGCCCUAGGCUUUGGGAUAACCCCGGGAAACCGGGGCUAAUACCGGAUAUGACCUGGUGCCGCAUGGUGUUGGGUGGAAAGUUUUUUCGGCCUGGGAUGGGCUCGCGGCCUAUCAGCUUGUUGGUGGGGUGAUGGCCUACCAAGGCGAUGACGGGUAGCCGGCCUGAGAGGGCGACCGGCCACACUGGGACUGAGACACGGCCCAGACUCCUACGGGAGGCAGCAGUGGGGAAUAUUGCACAAUGGGCGGAAGCCUGAUGCAGCGACGCCGUGUGAGGGAUGAAGGCCUUCGGGUUGUAAACCUCUUUCAGCAGGGACGAAGCGUGAGUGACGGUACCUGCAGAAGAAGCGCCGGCCAACUACGUG
RNAcentral lists this ribosomal RNA (462 nucleotides) under uncultured bacterium. RNAcentral describes it as "partial 16S ribosomal RNA". It matches the Rfam family "Bacterial small subunit ribosomal RNA", at positions 28 to 507 of the family's 1533-position model. The record is from RNAcentral.